GGCUCUCAGCGGGUCCCAGCUGACGGAAGGUGGGGGAGGAGUGCGAGGGUCUCUGAGACAGGUUGGGAGCCAGCCCCACCUCCAUUUCCAAAGCGGGGGUCCAGGCACAGGAACAGCCAAACGCCCGAACCAGCGGGGUUACCUUUGCCACUUCAUCCAAUCCGAGCAUCGGCUGACAAGUUUAUUUAAUCCCUGAACCUGGAUCCAAGGCAUCUCCCUGUAGAAAACAUCAGACCGGGGCAGAGAUUGACAAAGCAACCCAAAGCAGCAGCUGCCAACGGCCGCUGUGCCCACCUCAUCAGCAGCUAAAGAGUAUAAUUUUAAAAAAAGUCACAGAAGAAUGUGGAGACACUUAGCAAAACGGACUCUCAUAAGGAGGCUGAUGGACUACAUCCAUGGGGUACUUUGUCCUCUGGCUUCCAAUUAGAUUCAGACAACAGGAAGCAUCAACAGCUAAUGGGAGACGAAGAGGAAAAAUUGGGGUACCUAUUCCCCUAGAUUACUCCCUGCUGAUUGCUGCAGAGGGGCUUCAUCCUUGCCCUGGUUUCUGGAAAACACUCUUUCAUUGCCCAUGCAGGCCUAGGAGUGAUGAUGCCUCACUGGAUGGCAAAGUCUCUUAUUGGUUUCCCUAAAUCUUACUCACAACUUGUAGAUACUCCCUCUAUUAAAUCCUUUUCAGUUACCCAG
Molecule: long non-coding RNA, 687 nt
Filed under: Homo sapiens (human)
Lineage: Eukaryota; Metazoa; Chordata; Mammalia; Primates; Hominidae
Description: HSALNT0335838
Source: RNAcentral